This 492-nucleotide unclassified non-coding RNA is filed under the name Bombus terrestris (buff-tailed bumblebee). RNAcentral's name for it is "misc RNA ENSBTSG00005029623.1". Lineage: Eukaryota; Metazoa; Arthropoda; Insecta; Hymenoptera; Apidae. The record is from RNAcentral.
CGUUCUGUUAUGUUCGAUUCGAUCGUGUUAUGCCUUCCGUGUUAGUCUGGACUAAAUCCAGAUAAAAUUUUUUGCUGUGUUAUCUUCAGUUUAAUCGGAAGGGGAAAAUUGAAAUGGUAUGAUUGUUUAUGAAAUAUUAAUCGAGAUGUCCAAUUAAUAUGGUAGUUGCUGCCACCAGAAAUAGUCUAAGGACUAUUUCAAAGAAUUUCCUUUUAUUAUUAUUAUUUUCUUUAAGUUGGGAGUGUUAGUGUAUGAUGGUUAUUGUUUGUCUAUCGUGUCUUUUGGAUUCCCAGUCUGGAAGUGAGAGUCUAUUAUCUACUAACUCGUGUUUAAUGGGUAGCGUUGACUUACGUUUGAUGCAACUGGCAAACGAAUUCCACCUUUCGGCUAACCUGCUAUGCGCAGGAAUACUGGCACGGGAGAGGAUUAAAGUUAUUAGGGAUAGACAAUUGGCAACGUAUUUAUUUCGUCUAACAGAGUUAUGUUGAUUUA